GAUGAAGAACGUAGCGAAAUGCGAUAAGUAAUGUGAAUUGCAGAAUUCAGUGAAUCAUCGAGUCUUUGAACGCACAUUGCGCCCCCUGGUAUUCCGGGGGGCAUGCCUGUCCGAGCGUCAUUCCGCCCUCAAGCACGGCUUGUGUGUUGGGCCCCCGCCCCCCGGCUUCGGGGGGCGGGCCCGAAAGGCAGCGGCGGCACCGCGUCCGGUCCUCGAGCGUAUGGGGCUUCGUCACCCGCUCUGUAGGCCCGGCCGGCGCCCGCCGGCGACCCCAAUCAAUCUUUCCAGGUUGACCUCGGAUCAGGUAGGGAUACCCGCUGAACUUAAGCAUAUCAAUAAGCGGAGGA
This 347-nucleotide unclassified non-coding RNA is filed under the name soil metagenome. Its description in RNAcentral is "partial contains 5.8S ribosomal RNA, internal transcribed spacer 2, and large subunit ribosomal RNA". The stretch from base 1 to 120 matches the Rfam family "5.8S ribosomal RNA", at positions 35 to 154 of the family's 154-position model. The record is from RNAcentral.